This 450-nucleotide long non-coding RNA is filed under the name Elaeis guineensis (African oil palm). Its description in RNAcentral is "long non-coding RNA (EGUI_LNC074786)". Lineage: Eukaryota; Viridiplantae; Streptophyta; Magnoliopsida; Arecales; Arecaceae. The record is from RNAcentral.
GCGUGAAGAGAAGAGUCUAACUCAAUUUGAACUUUAAGUUUUCAUUCAAAUUCAAAUCCAUUUGAACUCAAAUUUAAAUUAACUAAUUUUUCAUUCAAAAAGAGAUCAGAUAUGGAUGUGCAACUACUUUUGAAUGUGAGAAAAAUUCAUGUAAAAAUUUUUCGCAUGAAGAAAUGGAGGGUGCAGAGAAAGAAGGCGCAAGAGAUUUAAAUUCAAAUUGAUUUCUCAUUCAAUUAGGUUUUUAACCCAACUGAAUUAGGUUAGAUCCAAUUAGACCAUUAAACCUAAUAUAAUUAGAUAGUAAAUAGUUUUGAUUAAAUUUUAAUCAAAUUAAAAAUUAAUCAAGCUCAAGUCCUGAUCAAAUCAGGAAUCGAACAUCCUUAGCGAUUAGGUCAUCUCAUAACCUAAUCGGAUCAAAACAAAUUGAAUCCAAUUUAAUUAGAUUUGAUC